Molecule: ribosomal RNA, 237 nt
Filed under: Triticum aestivum (bread wheat)
Lineage: Eukaryota; Viridiplantae; Streptophyta; Magnoliopsida; Poales; Poaceae
Description: partial small subunit ribosomal RNA
Source: RNAcentral
AUGAUUAAGUAAAAAAAGAAUGAACAAUAUUAUAUUGUCUACAAACUUCUUAAGUUGGUGCUCAUUUUUCCGGUAGCCACUGCUAGUGUUGAGAGGGUAUUUUCCUCGAUGAAAUAUGUGAAGAAUUCGCUAAGAAACAAAAUGGAUGAUGAAUAUUUGAAUAGUUGCUUGGUUACAUUUGUUGAGAGAGAAUUCUUCAAGCAAGUGAAAGAUGAGGAUGUCAUCAAUCUCUUCUAA